AACGAACGCUGGCGGCAUGCCUAAUACAUGCAAGUCGAACGAGACCUUCGGGUCUAGUGGCGCACGGGUGCGUAACGCGUGGGAAUCUGCCCUUGGGUUCGGAACAACAGUUGGAAACGACUGCUAAUACCGUAUACGCCCUACGGGGAAAGAUUUAUCGGAAUUGGAUGAGCCCGCGUUGGAUUAGCUAGUUGGUGGGG
Molecule: ribosomal RNA, 200 nt
Filed under: uncultured bacterium
Lineage: Bacteria
Description: partial 16S ribosomal RNA
Rfam family: Bacterial small subunit ribosomal RNA
Source: RNAcentral